UCCGGCUUGUCACCGGCAGUUCCUUCAGAGUGCCCGGCCGAACCGCUGGCAACUGAAGGUGAGGGUUGCGCUCGUUGCGGGACUUAACCCAACAUCUCACGACACGAGCUAACGACAGCCAUGCAGCACCUGUCUCACGGUUCCCGAAGGCACGCCCCGAUCUCUCAGGGCUUCCGUGGAUGUCAAGGCCAGGUAAGGUUCUUCGCGUUGCAUCGAAUUAAACCACAUACUCCACCGCUUGUGCGGGCCCCCGUCAAUUCCUUUGAGUUUCAACCUUGCGGUCGUACUCCCCAGGCGGGGUACUUCCUGCGUUAGCGCCGGCACCCAGAGGGUCGCUCCCCCAGGCACCUAGUACCCAUCGUUUACGGCGUGGACUAC
RNAcentral lists this unclassified non-coding RNA (378 nucleotides) under uncultured bacterium. Its description in RNAcentral is "contains 16S-23S intergenic spacer region". The record is from RNAcentral.